AAUAGAUACCCGGGUAGUCCACGCCGUAAACGAUGAGUGCUAAGUGUUAGAGGGUUUCCGCCCUUUAGUGCUGCAGCUAACGCAUUAAGCACUCCGCCUGGGGAGUACGGCCGCAAGGCUGAAACUCAAAGGAAUUGACGGGGGGCCCGCACAAGCGGUGGAGCAUGUGGUUUAAUUCGAAGCAACGCGAAGAACCUUACCAGGUCUUGACAUCCUCUGACAACCCUAGAGAUAGGGCUUUCCCCUUCGGGGGACAGAGUGACAGGUGGUGCACGGUUGUCGUCAGCUCGUGUCGUGAGAUGUUGGGUUAAGUCCCGCAACGAGCGCAACCCUUGAUCUUAGUUGCCAGCAUUCAGUUGGGCACUCUAAGGUGACUGCCGGUGACAAACCGGAGGAAGGUGGGGAUGACGUCAAAUCAUCAUGCCCCUUAUGACCUGGGCUACACACGUGCUACAAUGGAUGGUACAAAGGGCUGCAAACCUGCGAAGGUAAGCGAAUCCCAUAAAGCCAUUCUCAGUUCGGAUUGCAGGCUG
Molecule: ribosomal RNA, 533 nt
Filed under: uncultured bacterium
Lineage: Bacteria
Description: bacterial SSU rRNA
Rfam family: Bacterial small subunit ribosomal RNA
Source: RNAcentral